This 580-nucleotide long non-coding RNA is filed under the name Ananas comosus (pineapple). RNAcentral's name for it is "long non-coding RNA (ACOM_LNC041170)". The record is from RNAcentral. Lineage: Eukaryota; Viridiplantae; Streptophyta; Magnoliopsida; Poales; Bromeliaceae.
AGCGGGUAGAAACUAUAGUAGUAAUUAAUAAUAAUAAAAUAUUAAAUAUUCUUUUUGUGUAUCUCAUUUAUUACAUCUACCAAAAGUCUCUCACUGUAGGUAGCAAAUAUGAACCCAACGAUAGAGAGAGAGAGAGAGUAAAAUGGCUCAUUCUAAAUAAAAAUUGAAUGGGAGAGAUGAAGAGACGUAUGUUGAGAGAGAGAGAGUAAAAUGGCUCAUUUUAAAUAAAAAUUAAAUGGGGGAGAUGAAGAGACGUAUGUUGAGAGAGAGAAUAAAAUGGAUCAUUCUAAAUUAAAAAAAUUUUAAAAUUAGGAGGUUAUGACACAUCAGUUUAAAACAUUGGGGAUUCAUAAAGUGUAAUAGAUAGAUAUCAAAAAAAGUCUUGCUAUUUUAUUUGCAUACAAUGUGAAAAACAGUAUGACAAAAUAUUAUUAUUUUUAAGCUACCUGGUUUAUUUAUUUUUUAAAGAUAAAUUUAGUUGCAAAUGUAAAAAAAUUAUGCUUCGAUUUUGGAAUGUCAAAUAUCAACUAUCAAAUAUUUUAUCAUUUGCGAUAAAAACAGUCAAUAUGCACAGUAUUUG